UAGCUCAGUUGGCAGAGCGCUUGACUUCUAAUCAAGUGGUCAGGGGUUCAAUUCCCCU
This 58-nucleotide transfer RNA is filed under the name Methanobacteriota archaeon. RNAcentral describes it as "Euryarchaeota archaeon tRNA-Arg". It matches the Rfam family "tRNA", at positions 8 to 63 of the family's 71-position model. Rfam says of the family: Transfer RNA (tRNA) molecules are approximately 80 nucleotides in length. Their secondary structure includes four short double-helical elements and three loops (D, anti-codon, and T loops). The record is from RNAcentral. Lineage: Archaea; Methanobacteriati; Methanobacteriota.